CCCGCAGCUGCUGGAGCUGCUCAACCAGCUGGACGAGCGCAGGCGUAGGUGCCCGCGCCACGGGGCCUCGGCUCAGGGGCAGCCAGGUGUUGUGAGCGCCGUCCUGGGCCAGGGCCUCCCCUGAGGGUGCUGAGCUCUUGUGAGUCCUUCAUUGGGGCCGUGACUUCCUCCAGAGAGUCUCAAUGGGAGGUGGUCUCAGUGAUGACCAUGCCCUGCCCUGCCCUGCCCUGCCCAGGACCCUCUGCCUGCCUCCCCCAGAGACCAGCACCUUCAGAGCCCUCUGCAGAAGGUUGGGCACAGGGCGGCCCAUCUGCGUGUCCGUUCCACCCAGGAGCUUCUCGGCACUGUGCCGGAGUGGUCAGGGUUGCUCUGUCGUCUGCCCACAGUGUACUAUGAGGGGCUGCAGGACAAGCUGGCACAGAUCCGCGAUGCCCGGGGGGCGCUGAGUGCCCUACGCGAAGAGCACCGGGAGAAGCUUCGCCGGGCAGCCGAGGAGGCAGAGCGCCAGCGCCAGAUCCAGCUGGCCCAGAAGCUGGAGAUAAUGCGGCAGAAGAAGCAGGUGCAGUGGCUGCCCAGCCACGGGCCGGGGCCGGCUGGGGGACCUUGCAGCAUAACCAGCAUGUUUUUGCCGCACAGGAGUACCUGGAGGUGCAGAGGCAGCUGGCCAUCCAGCGCCUGCAGGAGCAGGAGAAGGAGCGGCAGCUGCGGCUGGAGCAGCAGAAGCAGACGGUCCAGAUGCGCGCGCAGAUGCCCGCCUUCCCCCUGCCCUACGCCCAGGCAUGUGCCAUCCUCCCGCCACCCAGAGGCUCGUGGGCUGAGGACCAACUCUCACCACUGUCUCCUUCGUCCCCAGCUCCAGGCCAUGCCCGCAGCCGGAGGCGUGCUCUACCAGCCCUCGGGACCAGCCAGCUUCCCCAGCACCUUCAGCCCUGCCGGCUCGGUGGAGGGCUCCCCAAUGCACGGCGUGUAUAUGAGCCAGCCGGCCCCUGCCGCUGGCCCCUACCCCAGCAUGCCCGGCACUGCGGCUGGUAAGGAUGGGUCGGGGCAGAGACCAUGCUUUUUAUCCCUCGUCUUUAUUUUAGCCGAAUUUACAGAAAAGCAGUAAGAAUGGUGCGAAGGGUUUUCCCAGUUGCCCCGAUGUGAAUGUUGUCCCUGCUUUUUCCUGUUUCCACGCAAACGCGCUCACACAGGCUUUCCUGCUGGAGCCGUGUUUCAGUCCGUGCGUGGCAGGUACUGCCAUCUCCCCUGAAUGCGACAGCGAGCAUUUCCUGAAACCAGCAGGUGCUGGGCUGCCGAUCCUCGUCUGUAGCAGGCUCAGCCCUCAUGGACUGUCCCAGUGGUGUCCUGUAAACAGCACGCCCCCUGCUGCGUGGCAUUUGCCCCCCCCCCGCCUUUAAUCUAGAGUGUUCCCCAGUCAGCUUUUGUGUUUUGUGACAUCAACUGUCCCAAGAGCACUGGCCUGUCAUUCGGCAGACCGUCCUCAGCUCAGGUUUGUCUGGUGUCUCCACGCGGUGACCAUAAGGCUGUGCUUUUCUCAGAGUGGCAGCCGAGGUGACGUGCAUCCCGUCAGUCCCAUUGCUGGCUGUUCAGCUGAGACGGGGUCUGCCAGGGGUUUUCACUGUGAAGUGACUGUUUUGCCCUUUAUCAGAUGUCUCUUGGGGGAGGCCUUCCAAAUACCCUGGGACUCCUCAAGGUCUAGCAUUUUUUGCUAAUGUUGCCUGUGUUUAUUACGGUGUUUGCCAAAUAGCGCCUUCUAAUUCUGCUGUUGUUUUUCCACUGGCGGGAGGUACUCUCCCCACUCUCCUGCUUAUCGUCAGUCACAGCGGCGUGGAGACGUGUUUAUUUUUUCUUUCAAAGGUGACACUCCUCUGUCAUCACUCUUUAUUUUUAAUCUCACUGUCAUCCAGGCUGGAGUGGAGUGCCAUGAUCAUGGUUCACUGCAGCCUCGACCUCCUGGGCUCAAGCAAUCCUCCCAUCUCAGCCUCUUGAGUAGCUGGGACUACAGGAUUGCACCACCAUGCCUGGCUAAUUAAAAAAAAAAAAAAAAAAGGGCUGGGUGCGGUGGCUCACGCCUGUAGUCCCAGCAGGUUGGGAGGCUGAGGCAGGUGGGUCAUGAGGUCAGGAGUUCAAGACCAGCCUGCCAGGAUGGUGAGACCCUGUCUCUACUAAACAUACAAACAUUAGGUGGGCGUGGUGGCACGUGCCUGUAAUCCCAGCUAUUCAGGAGGCAGAGGCAGAGAAUGAAUUGAGCCCGGGAAGUGGGGGUUGCAGUGAGCCGAGGUUGCACCACCACACUCUAGCCUGAGCAACAGAGUGAAACUCCAUCUCAAAAAAAAUGUAGAAAUGAGGUCUUUCUGUGUUGCCCAAGCUGACCUCAAACUCCUGACC
This 2388-nucleotide small RNA is filed under the name Pan troglodytes (chimpanzee). RNAcentral describes it as "retained intron". The record is from RNAcentral. Lineage: Eukaryota; Metazoa; Chordata; Mammalia; Primates; Hominidae.